This is a non-coding RNA of Biomphalaria pfeifferi, 259 nucleotides long. The record is from the annotation of a GenBank genome assembly. Lineage: Eukaryota; Metazoa; Mollusca; Gastropoda; Planorbidae.
GGCUAGAGACAAGACAUGAAACGGUUUUUCAGAAACAGUGUGUAGGUUAUUGCAGGGUUGUUGGGGGUUGUCUUUCUGCAAGGGUAAAGACUAUAAUGAAUUUGAAUAAAUACAUACAUAAAUAGCUAUUGGUAAUCACAAUGUUUCAAUCAGUUGGUGCCUUACCUUUUAUUAUUACUGAUAUUAUACUUAUAAUGAUUUUAUAACUAUUUUUAUAGCUAGCUUUUAAUCUUGUUUCUAUCUUAUGCACCCUGGUAUU